AUACGGAGGAUGCGAGCGUUAUCCGGAUUUAUUAGGUUUAAAGGGUGUGUAGGCGGUAUUUUAAGUCAGUGGUGAAAUCUCGGAGCUUAACUUCGAAACUGCCAUUGAUACUGGAAUACUUGAGUAUAGUUGAGGUAGGCGGAAUAUGUAAUGUAGCGGUGAAAUGCAUAGAUAUUACAUAGAACACCGAUUGCGAAGGCAGCUUACUAAACUAUUACUGACGCUGAUGCACGAAAGCGUGGGGAGCGAACAGGAUUAGAUACCCCGGUAGUCC
Molecule: ribosomal RNA, 274 nt
Filed under: uncultured bacterium
Lineage: Bacteria
Description: partial 16S ribosomal RNA
Rfam family: Bacterial small subunit ribosomal RNA
Source: RNAcentral